RNAcentral lists this long non-coding RNA (3830 nucleotides) under Sus scrofa (pig). RNAcentral describes it as "lncRNA (ENSSSCG00000057533.1)". Lineage: Eukaryota; Metazoa; Chordata; Mammalia; Artiodactyla; Suidae. The record is from RNAcentral.
UUUUUUUUUUGGUGUACAGUAUCAAGAGUGCAUGUACUUUCAGUCCAAGGUUGUAGGAAACAUCAGCUGACCCAGGUAGAGAGGCUAGGACUCUUUACCUACUUCCUUUGUAGAAGCCAAAGCAUCACCUUCAGGAGUUGAUGAGCCUUACUGACUUGGCUUUCGGUUGAUUUACUUCCGUCAUAAUUACGUUUCCUCUUUCCAAGGGAAACAAAACCUUGAUAUCAGAGGAAGAAAAAUCGCUAUUGGCACUACUUCUAUACUUAUUUGUUUUUUGUUUGUUUGUUUGUUUGUUUGUUUGUUUUUAUCGUUUUGCCUUUUCUAGGGCUGCUUCCUGCGGCAUAUGGAGGUUCCCAGGCUAGGGGUCAAAUCCGAGCUAUAGCCGCAGGCCUACACCAGAGCCACAGAAUGCGGGAUCCAAGCCGCGUCGCAGCCUACACCACAGCUCACGGCUCACGGCCCACAGCUCACGGCUCACAGAACCCGCCACCUCAUGGUUCCUAGUCGGUUUCAUUAACCACUGUGCCACGACAGGAACUCCUAUACUUCUUUUUUUAAAAAAACUUAUAGGUUUUUAUUUUUUCUAUUAUAGAUGAUUUACAUUUUUCCAUCAACUUCUGCUGUACAGCAAAGUGACCCAGUCAUACAUAUACAUAUACAUUCUUUUUCUCACAUUAUCCUCCAUCAUGUUCCAUCACAAGUGACUAGAUGGAGUUUCCUGUGCUAUACAGAAGAUUCUCACAGCUUACCCAUUCCAAAUGCAAUAGUUUGCAUCUACUAACCCAAACUCCCAGUCCAUCCCAUUCCCACCCCCUCCCCCUGGGCAACCACAAGUCUGUUCUCCAAGUCCAUAGGUUUUCUUUUUUUCUAUAGAAAGAUUCAUCUGUGCCAUAUAUUAGAUUUCAGAUAUGUAAUAUCAUGUGGUGUUUGUCUUUCUCUUUUUGACUUCACUUAGUAUGAGAGUCUCUAGUUCCAUCCAUGUUGCAGCAAAUGGCAUUAUUUUGUUCUUCUUUAUGGCCAAGUAGUAAUCCAUUGUGUAUAUAUACCAUAUCUCCUUAAUCCAUUCACCUGUUGAUGGACAUUUAGGUUUUUUCCUACUCUUAGCUAUUGUGAAUAGUGCUGCAGUGAACAUAGGGGUGCAUGUAUCUUUUUCAAAGAAAGUUUUGUCUAGAUAUAUGCUGAGGAGUAGGAUUGCUAGAUCAUAUGGUAGUUCUAUAUUUAGUUUCUGAGGUACCUCCAUACUGUUUUCCAUAAUGGUUGUACCAAUUUACAUUCUCACCAACAGUGUAGGAGGAUUCACUUUUCUCCAUAUCCUCUCCAGCAUUUGUUAUUUGUAGACUUGUUAAAUGAUGGACAUUCUGACUGGUGUGAGGUGGUACCCCAUAGUAGUUUUGAUUUGCAUUUCUCUAAUAAUUAGUGAUAUUCAGCAUUUUUUCAUUUACCUGUUGGCCAUCUGUAUAUCUUCUUUGGAGAAAUGUCUAAUCAGGUCUUGUGCCCAUUUAUCAAUUAGGUGGUUGCUUCUUUUGUUGUUGAGUUGUAUAGGUUAUUUGUAUAUUUUAGAGAUUAAGCCCUUCAUAGUUGUAAUAUAUGAAACUAUUUUAUCCCAUUCCGCAAAUGGCUCUUGUGUGUGUGUGUGUGUGUGUGUGUGUGUGUGUGUGUGUGUGUGUGUGUGUGUCUGUGUGUGGUUUCCUUUGCUGUGCAAAAUCCUUUCAUUUUGAUUAGGUCCCAUUGGUUUAUUUAUUUUUUUUAUUUCUGUUACCUUGGGAGACUCACCUGAGAAACAUUUGUAAGGUUGAUGUCAGAGAAUGUUUUGCCUAUGUUCUCCUCUAGGAGUUUCAUGGUGUCUUGUCUUAUGUUUAAGUCUUUAAGCCAUUUGGAUUUAUUUUGGUGCAUGGUGUAAGGGUAUGUUCUAGUUUCACUGAUUUACAUGCAACUGUCCAGUUUCUUAGCACCACUUGCUGAAAAGACUGUCUUAUUCCCAUUUUAUAUUCUUGCCUCCUUUGUCAAAGAUUAAUUGACCAUAGGUUCCUGACUUGGUUUAUUGGUUCUCUAUUCUGUUCCAUUGGUCUCUAUGUCUGUUUUGGUACCAGGACCACACUUUCUUCAUGACUGUAGCUUUGUAAUAUUGUCAGAAGUCUGCGAGAGUUAUGCCUCCUUCUUGGCUUUUGUUCCUCAGGAUUGCUUUGGUAAUUCUGGGUCUUUUAUGGUUCCAUAUAAAUUUUGGGGUUGUUUGUUCUAGUUCUGUAAAAAAUGUUACGGGUAAUUUGAUAAGGAUCACAUUUAAUCUGUAGAUUGCUUUGGGUAUUAUGGCCAUUUUAAAAAUACUUAUUCUUCCUAUCCAGCAGUAUGGAAUAUCUUUCCAUUUCUUUGAAUCCUCUUUCAUUUCCUUCAUUAAUGUUUUGUAGUUCUUAGCAUAUAAGUCUUUCACUUCCUUAGUCAGGUUUAUUCUAGGUAUUUAAUUUUGGGGAGUGCAUAUUAAAAGCUAUUGUAUUUUUAUAUUCAUUUUCUAAUACACUAUUAUUGGUAUACAGAAAUGCAACCAAUUCUCAAUGUUAAUCAUGUAUCCUACUACUUUGCUGAAUUCAUUGAUCAGUUCAAGUAGUUUUUGUGUGGAGUCCUUAGGUUUUUCAGUAUAUAGGCUCAUGUCAUCUGCAUACAGUGACAAUUUUACCUCUUCUCUUCCAAUCUGAAUACCUUUUAUUUCUUACAUUUGUCAGACUUCUUUGGCUAGGACUUUCAAUACUCUGUUGAAUAAAAGUGAGAGUGGGCAUCUUUGUCUUAUUCCACAUUUUACUGUGGAGGCUUUCAGCUUUUGCCCAUUGAGUAUUAUAUUUGCUGUGGGUUUCUCAUAAAUGUCAUUUGUUAUGUUAAAGUAUAUUCCCUCUAUACCCACUUUGGUAAGAGUUUUUAUCAAUGAAUGGAUGUUGGAUUUUUUAAAUGCUUUUUCUGCAACUAUUGAGAUAAUCCUGUGGAUUUUACUUUUCUUUGGUUAAUGUGGUGUAUGACGUUGAUGUUGAACCAUCCUUGUGCACCUGGGAUGAAUCCCACUUGGUCGUGGUGUAUGAUCUUUUUUAGAUGUUGUUGGAUUCAGAAGACUAAAAUAUUGUUGAGAAUUUUUUCAUCUAUAUUCAUCAAAGAUAUUGGCCUAUAAUUUUCAUUUUUGGUAGUAUUUUUGUCUGGUCUUGGUAUUAGGGUGAUAGUGGCUUCAUAGCAUAUCUUUAGGAGUGUUUCUUCUUUUUCAACCUUUUGGAAAAGUUUAAGAAGAAUGAGUAUAAGUUUUUUGUAUGGUAGAAUUUGCCUGAGAAGUCAUCUGGUCCUGGACUUUUAUUUGUGGGGAGUGUUUUUAUGACAUAUUCAAUUUCAUUUCAAAUGAUCAGUCUGUUCAAUUAAUAUAUUUCUUCUUAAUUCAGUUUUGGUGGGCUGUAUGUCUAUAGAAAGUGGUCCAUUUCUUCUAGGUUGUCAAAUUUGUUAGCAUACAAUUGUUCAUAGUAUUCUCUCAAGGUUUUUUGUAUUUCUGUAGUAUCCAUUGAGAUUUCUCCUUUUUCAUUUCUUAUUUUGUUGAUUUGAGUUCUUUCUCUCCUCUUCUUAGUGAGUCUGGCCAGAGGUUUGUCAGUUUUGUUUACCCUUUCAAAGAAACAGCUCUUGGUUUCACUCAUUUUUUUCCACCUUUUUUUUUUUUUUUAAAUCUCUAUCUUAUUGAUUUCCUCUCUGAUCUUUAUGAUUUCCUUCCUUCUGCUAACUUUAGGUUUUGUUUGUUCUUUUUCUAAUUCAUUUAGGUCAUGGGUUAAGUUGUCAAUUUGAGAUUUUUCUUCUUUUUUGAGGAAGGCCUG